This 226-nucleotide ribosomal RNA is filed under the name uncultured bacterium. RNAcentral's name for it is "partial 16S ribosomal RNA". It matches the Rfam family "Bacterial small subunit ribosomal RNA", at positions 15 to 216 of the family's 1533-position model. The record is from RNAcentral.
GAUCCUGGCUCAGGACGAACGCUGGCGGCGUGCUUAACACAUGCAAGUCGAACGAAGAGCGAUGGAAGCUUGCUUCUAUCAAUCUUAGUGGCGAACGGGUGAGUAACGCGUAAUCAACCUGCCCUUCAGAGGGGGGAGUAACAGUUGGAAACGACUGCUAAUACCGCAUACGAUCUAAUCUCGGCAUCGAGGAUAGAUGAAAGGUGGCCUCUACAUGUAAGCUAUC